GAAGUAAAAGUCGUAACAAGGUUUCCGUAGGUGAACCUGCGGAAGGAUCAUUACUGAUUUGCUUAAUUGCACCACAUGUGUUUUUCUUUGAAACAAACUUGCUUUGGCGGUGGGCCCAGCCUGCCGCCAGAGGUCUAAACUUACAACCAAUUUUUUAUCAACUUGUCACACCAGAUUAUUACUAAUAGUCAAAACUUUCAACAACGGAUCUCUUGGUUCUCGCAUCGAUGAAGAACGCAGCGAAAUGCGAUACGUAAUAUGAAUUGCAGAUAUUCGUGAAUCAUCGAAUCUUUGAACGCACAUUGCGCCCUCUGGUAUUCCGGAGGGCAUGCCUGUUUGAGCGUCGUUUCUCCCUCAAACCGCUGGGUUUGGUGUUGAGCAAUACGACUUGGGUUUGCUUGAAAGACGGUAGUGGUAAGGCGGGAUCGCUUUGACAAUGGCUUAGGUCUAACCAAAAACAUUGCUUGCGGCGGUAACGUCUACCACGUAUAUCUUCAAACUUUGACCUCAAAUCAGG
This 517-nucleotide unclassified non-coding RNA is filed under the name Candida albicans. RNAcentral describes it as "sequence contains 18S rRNA gene, ITS1, 5.8S rRNA gene, ITS2, 28S rRNA gene". The stretch from base 193 to 346 matches the Rfam family "5.8S ribosomal RNA". Lineage: Eukaryota; Fungi; Ascomycota; Pichiomycetes; Serinales; Debaryomycetaceae. The record is from RNAcentral.